GUGAAUCAUCAAAUUUUUGAACGCAAAUUGCACUAUCUGGUAUUCCGGAAAGUAUGCCAGGGUGGGGGUCGGUUAAAUAAAAAUCGGUGUUGGUGCUGCAUUUCGUGGUGACGCGUUGGACUUGAGUCGUCUUACGUUUGGUUAAGUGACUUAAAAUUUUUGCAUGAUCUUCGAACGUAUAUAAAUCGCUUAUGUACGAUUGAUAUAUCGUAUGCUUCUUAGGUCUGGUCAUUGCCA
This 237-nucleotide unclassified non-coding RNA is filed under the name Glomus sp. RNAcentral describes it as "partial internal transcribed spacer 2". The stretch from base 1 to 71 matches the Rfam family "5.8S ribosomal RNA", at positions 84 to 154 of the family's 154-position model. The record is from RNAcentral. Lineage: Eukaryota; Fungi; Glomeromycota; Glomeromycetes; Glomerales; Glomeraceae.